Long non-coding RNA from Gossypium arboreum, 588 nucleotides. RefSeq lists it as uncharacterized. Lineage: Eukaryota; Viridiplantae; Streptophyta; Magnoliopsida; Malvales; Malvaceae. The record is from RefSeq and is a predicted model, not a curated record. The transcript is spliced from 2 exons.
GGUUAUAUAUGCCACCCACCGUCCCUCCCUCCCUUUCCAUAACCAUUCAAAAAUUUUCUUAGGUUUGAAUCUAAAGUUUUUCUCUUAAAAUUGGUUCAUCCCUAAUGAUUUUUUAGCUUUUCAAACAUCGAAUUUUUCUUCAAUUUUAAAGAAAAUAAAAAAUUUCUUCAUCAUUUUAUUCAUUGUUCUUAAAAUUUGCAUUCUCGAAUUAGCUCCAUAGCUUGUGAGUUUCGUGAAAUUGAGUUUCAAAUCAAUCGAGAGCAUCUUCAAGCAAGGAUAAAGGCAAACAAAAGCUUAUUUGAGCUUUUGGCAUUGAAGUGAAAGCUUCAAGGUGAGUGAUCUGAUAUGCUGCAAUUAUGCACAAUUCAAUGUGUUAAAGGGGAGCUUAGGCACUAAUCACCUAUCCUAAGUUCCAAGAGUAAAUGAUUUUUCCUUGAGCUGUAAUAUUUUGCAAAUGAUGAUGAUUUAUGAUAAGAUAUGAAUAUGAUAUGUUAAAUAAAUGGAUGUAAAUAUGUAAGAAUAUGCUUAUUGAUCUGUUGGUUUAAUGCACACAUCUGAUAUGAAAGUGUAUGUGGCUUAAAGAAUAAA